This 492-nucleotide ribosomal RNA is filed under the name uncultured bacterium. Its description in RNAcentral is "partial 16S ribosomal RNA". It matches the Rfam family "Bacterial small subunit ribosomal RNA", at positions 29 to 507 of the family's 1533-position model. The record is from RNAcentral.
AGUGAACGCUGGCGGUAGGCCUAACACAUGCAAGUCGAACGGCAGCACAGUAAGAGCUUGCUCUUACGGGUGGCGAGUGGCGGACGGGUGAGGAAUACAUCGGAAUCUACUUUUUCGUGGGGGAUAACGUAGGGAAACUUACGCUAAUACCGCAUACGACCUACGGGUGAAAGCAGGGGAUCUUCAGACCUUGCGCGAUUGAAUGAGCCGAUGUCGGAUUAGCUAGUUGGCGGGGUAAAGGCCCACCAAGGCGACGAUCCGUAGCUGGUCUGAGAGGAUGAUCAGCCACACUGGAACUGAGACACGGUCCAGACUCCUACGGGAGGCAGCAGUGGGGAAUAUUGGACAAUGGGGGCAAGCCUGAUCCAGCCAUACCGCGUGGGUGAAGAAGGCCUUCGGGUUGUAAAGCCCUUUUGUUGGGAAAGAAAAGCAGCAGGUUAAUACCCCGCUGUUCUGACGGUACCCAAAGAAUAAGCACCGGCUAACUUCGUG